Molecule: ribosomal RNA, 525 nt
Filed under: Escherichia coli
Lineage: Bacteria; Pseudomonadati; Pseudomonadota; Gammaproteobacteria; Enterobacterales; Enterobacteriaceae
Description: partial 23S ribosomal RNA
Rfam family: Bacterial large subunit ribosomal RNA
Source: RNAcentral
GUCCUAAGGUAGCGAAAUUCCUUGUCGGGUAAGUUCCGACCCGCACGAAAGGCGUAACGAUUUGGGCACUGUCUCAACGAGAGACUCGGUGAAAUCAUAGUACCUGUGAAGAUGCAGGUUACCCGCGACAGGACGGAAAGACCCCGUGGAGCUUUACUGUAGCCUGAUAUUGAAAUUCGGCACAGCUUGUACAGGAUAGGUAGGAGCCUUUGAAACGUGAGCGCUAGCUUACGUGGAGGCGCUGGUGGGAUACUACCCUAGCUGUGUUGGCUUUCUAACCCGCACUACUUAUCGUGGUGGGAGACAGUGUCAGGCGGGCAGUUUGACUGGGGCGGUCGCCUCCUAAAAGGUAACGGAGGCGCUCAAAGGUUCCCUCAGAAUGGUUGGAAAUCAUUCAUAGAGUGUAAAGGCAUAAGGGAGCUUGACUGCGAGACCUACAAGUCGAGCAGGGUCGAAAGACGGACUUAGUGAUCCGGUGGUUCCGCAUGGAAGGGCCAUCGCUCAACGGAUAAAAGCUACCCCGGG